GGAUGUGAGGGCGAUCUGGUUGCGACAUCUGUCACCCCAUUGAUCGCCAGGGUUGAUUCGGCUGAUCUGGCUGGCUAGGCGGGUGCCCCCUUCCUCCCUCACCGCUCCAUGUGCGUCCCUCCCGAAGCUGCGCGCUCGGUCGAAGAGGACGACCAUCCCCGAUAGAGGAGGACUGGUCUUCGGUCAAGGGUAUACGAGUAGCUGCGCUCCCCUGCUAGAACCUCCAAACAAGCUCUCAAGGUCCAUUUGUAGGGGAACGUAGGGUAGUCAAGCUUCCAAG
Molecule: small nuclear RNA, 280 nt
Filed under: Cervus elaphus hippelaphus
Lineage: Eukaryota; Metazoa; Chordata; Mammalia; Artiodactyla; Cervidae
Rfam family: 7SK RNA
About the family: 7SK was discovered as an abundant small nuclear RNA in the mid-70s but a possible function has only recently been suggested. Two independent studies have found that 7SK RNA binds the CDK9/cyclin T complex (known as elongation factor P-TEFb).
Source: RNAcentral